GGGGAAGACAGGUAAUAAGAGAGAGGGGAAGACAGGUAAUAAGAGAGGGGAAGACAGGUAAUAAGAGAGGGGGGAAGACAGGUAAUAAGAGUGGGGAAGAGAGGGGAAGACAGGUAAUAAGAGAGAGGGGAAGACAGGUAAUAAGAGAGGGGAAGACAGGUAAUAAGAGAGGGGGGAAGACAGGUAAUAAGAGUGGGGAAGAGAGGGGAAGACAGGUAAUAAGAGAGAGGGGAAGACAGGUAAUAAGAGAGGGGAAGAC
This is a long non-coding RNA of Oncorhynchus keta (chum salmon), 259 nucleotides long. RefSeq lists it as uncharacterized. The transcript is spliced from 4 exons. The record is from RefSeq and is a predicted model, not a curated record. NCBI's taxonomy places the organism in Eukaryota, Metazoa, Chordata, Actinopteri, Salmoniformes, Salmonidae.